Molecule: long non-coding RNA, 706 nt
Organism: Rosa chinensis
Lineage: Eukaryota; Viridiplantae; Streptophyta; Magnoliopsida; Rosales; Rosaceae
Exons: 4
Source: RefSeq, a predicted model, not a curated record
GAAGAGGUCUUCUGCGAGAUUACAGAGAGAAGAAAAAGGAUGUGAGAGGUCUUCUGUGAGAGACAUGCACAGAAAGAAGAAUAGGGAAAUUCACAUCGCGAGACUGAUCAGAGAGAGAAGGAGAAGAGGGAGACAAGAAGAAGAAGAAGAAGAAGAGGAAUCUGGGUAAUUGGAUUGCCCGACGUAGAGAGAAAGAGAAGUGCGCCGAUCAGGUCUUCCACAAGCGGAAGGAGUUUCUAGGUCUUUUACUUUUCCACUUCUACCAUAAGCCUGUACGAUUAUUUCUGUCUUCUUCGAUGAUGAUUGCUUUAAAUUAUCGGUGUGACAUCAUUGAGGUGAUGCUAACUUUAUGUUCUUUGGGGACCUUGAAGAGAAUAUUAUUUUAGCUGGGUAAAGGGAACCCAAUCAUAGCAAGUGUUUAUUUCUUCGUUAGCUACCAUUUGAUUGGAUCCAGUGGAUUACUAUUUGAUAGAAAGCGCAAGGAUUCCUCCGCUGGUAAAUUUUUGCCAUCAACAAUGUUUGAUUUUUCAGAGACCUAUCUUUUUAGGUUCGAUUAGGUAAAGAUUUGAUUUCAAAACUACUUAUCUGUUCCCAACAGUCUGAUUUGUAAAGGAGGCAUUCAAUUUUAGCAGCUGGGUUGUCAUAAAGUUAUGUAGGCAUUCCAAUGAUUAUUUUCAUUGGUAUAUAUAGCACCAAGUACAGCAAA